Molecule: long non-coding RNA, 284 nt
Filed under: Callithrix jacchus (white-tufted-ear marmoset)
Lineage: Eukaryota; Metazoa; Chordata; Mammalia; Primates; Cebidae
Description: lncRNA (ENSCJAG00000078032.1)
Source: RNAcentral
AAACAGUUGUGACAAAAGGAUCCUUAUCAGAGGUCAGUUCCAGUGAGAGCUGCUGGAAAGGAAGAAAACUUGCUUAAAUUUGGAACCAGGCAAGCUAACAAUCUAAGGUCUACUAGGACAACAUGUGAAGGCUGAAUCCUUGCUCUGUCACACAUGGCUUACACGCCCCUGCUCAAGUUACUUAAUUUCUGUGAGCCUCAACGAUUCCAUCUGUAAAAGAAGGGAUAUAUUUGAUCAUCAUGUGCCUUUGAUAAACCAGCAAUCUACAGAAGAGUGGAGAGGAG